This 4044-nucleotide long non-coding RNA is filed under the name Triticum aestivum (bread wheat). RNAcentral's name for it is "long non-coding RNA (TAES_LNC016709)". Lineage: Eukaryota; Viridiplantae; Streptophyta; Magnoliopsida; Poales; Poaceae. The record is from RNAcentral.
CCAUGGGAGAAGAAAGAAAGCUCAGAUCUCCCCUUGCCUUCUGAUGUUUCUGAACAACUUGUCCAGACGAUUCUUGUAGGCAGCUACCUUCUCCUUCGAUCCACCAAACCAACAGCAGCAAAUCUGCUAGAAAAAUGGAUAAUCCUCAAUUUCAUACCCAGAUCACAGAUCUGUCAGCAGGAAAAGCAAAACGAAGAAGAAAGAAACCUGGGAUCAAACUGGUUCUGUAGUGUUCACUAGAGGUAUAUACAUAAAUUUGUACAAAAGGAAUUUAACGUACAUGGAUUACAGGGUAGCUGAUUGAAUUCAUAACACUAGCCUUGUAGCCUCAAAAUACUAGACUUGGACACACUUUAUAAAGAGCAAAAAAUGAUAUAUAAUCUAAAUGCUAAACUUGCAUGCUCAAAAAUGCUAAAAGUGCACAUUCAUCAUAGUAAAAUAUAACUACAGCAAAGAAAACUAAUCCACAAAAAAAGAACUUGCAUCAUCAUCAUGCUAUACUUGCGCACACUUUAUCAGAGCAAAAAAUAUAAAAAAACACUUGAAACAAAAAUGAUAAUACGAAAAAUGGAAACUACUGUAUGAAAGAAUCCAAUACUAAAUUUACAUGUGUACAAAAUGAUAAGCUAGUUUCAGGUUAACUGCAUGUAUAAACAUUCAUAAAAUUCAUAAUUUACAAGUAAAACUUGCACCCUCAAGAUAAUAGACUUGCACGUACUUUGUAAGAGCAAAAAUUCAUAGAGUCCAAUACUAAACUUGCAUGCUCCUCAUAGUACACUUGCACACCUUUUACAACAACAAGACUGAUAUUAACAUUCUGAUAUCAUAAUUUAGGGGUUACUGGAUUUAACCUACAUGGAUAACUGGAGGUAGAUACAUGGAGGUAGCAAAACUCAAUUCACAAAAAUAUAACUACAACAACAAAACUAAUACACAAAACCCAAAAUUUUCCAAAAAAGGAACUUGCAUCCUCAUCAUACUAGACUUGCACACGCUUCAUCAAAUCAAAAAAAAAAUCACAAAACCUUGAAACAAAAAUGAUAACAUGAAAGAUGGAAACUUGUAAAGUUAAAUGUGUACAAAAUGAUAACCUAGUUUGAGGUUAACUGCAAUUUGAGUGGUUAUACUAAAUAUUGAGUGGUUAUACUAAAGCAAACAAAAUGAUAAAAUGCAGACAUUUUAUGACAACUAUAACUACAACAAACAUAACUGCAUACACACACUGAAAAAAAAACAUUUGAGUGGUUAUACUAAAUCUUAGCACACUAUUAACAACAACAAGCAAUACAAAUUGUAUGAGUUGAUCCACAAAAUUCAAAAUUUACAAGUAAAACUUGUAUCCUCAUAAUACUAGACUUUCACACACUUUAUAAGAGCAACCUUCAUAUAAAAUCCAAAAACUAAACUUGCACAUUCAUUACAGUAAAAUUGCACACAUUUUACUACAGCAAGACUGACAUAAACCUUGUUGAUAUCGUAAUUUAGAGUUUUCUGGAGGGAGAUACAUUGAUUUAUACAAACAGCAUGUAACCUACAUGGAUUACAGGGAAGCUAACUCAAUUGACAACUAUAACUACAGCAACAGAACUAAUUCAUAAAAUUCAAAAAUUACAAAUGAAACUUGUAUCCUCAUAAAUAGUAGAGUUGCACUUAUUAAAAAGAGUAAAUUUAUAUAGAAAAACCAGCAAAAGUACAUGACAAAACAAAAUCACAAAAAUCAAUGUUCCAUAAAAAAUGCACAUUCAUCAUACUAAACUUGCACACAUUUUACAACAGCAAAAAAACUGGGGUUUACUGGUGGUAGAUAAAAUUAUUUGAACAAAAAUGUAUUUAAACUACAUGGAUUACUGGAGUUAGAUACACUGACGUAGCUAACUAAUUUACAAAUAUAACUAAAGGGCAACCUGGUGCAUGUAGCUCCCGCUUGCGCAGGGUCCAGGGAAGGGUCCGACCACUUUGGGUCUAUAGUACGCAGCCUUUCCCUACAUUUCUGUAAGAGGCUGUUUCCAGGACUUGAACCCAUGACCUCAUGGUCACAAGGCAGCAGCUUUACCACUGCGCCAAGGCUCCCCUUCUAAUUUACAAAUAUAACUACAACAACAAAACUAAUUCAUAAAACUCAAAAUUUGGAAAAUAAAAUUUGCAUCCUCACGAUAAAUUUGCACACACUAUAUGAGAGCAAACAAAUCACAAAAACCUUGCAAAGAAUCCAAUACUAAAAUUAAAUGUGUGCAAAAAUAAUAUCCUAGUUUGAGGUUUACUGCAUGUAUAAACAUUGAAUUCAACAAAAGGAAUUACAUUAACUACACAACACCUAGAUGAAUUGACAAAAAUAUAAAAUCAUUAAACUACUAAAACUAAAAAAUUUGCAACCUCAUACAAGGGGAUAAGAAAACUAAAGAAUGUAAAUGGAUAAGAAACUCACCAUCCUCCUAAAGCAAUAUUCAUCAAGGACGACAUCGAAAACUUCAGGGACUUCAUCGGCUGGCACAAACAGAAAGCAUGGAUCAUCAGGACAAAGACAAACAGGGCAAACCAUACCUACACUAAAAAAACAUAGGGUUAUUCUACAUGGAUAACUUAAAAAAAGAUCUAAAAUGAACAAGCUCCCUAAAAAAAUUAAAUCUAAACAACUUGCAUCUCCAAGCAACUAGACUUGCAUAAACUAUUCAGAUAUUAAUGGGGAACCAUACAUAAACUAGACUUGCAUAAACUAUUCAGAUAUUAAUGGGGAACCAUACAUAAACUAGACUUGCAUAAACUAUUCAGAUAUCAAAGGGGGAGGGGGAGCAUUGUGGUUACAAACUGUAACCUGCAUUUGACUUAACGAAUGAACAUACUAACCAUUCUGCAAAUUUCCCUAAAAAAUAUAACAUUUACUUAAUAACCCUAAAAAAUUGACUACCAAGCUCAAACACUAGGGGUGCAAGGCAGCACCCUGAGCCAUUCUGCUCCGAAUUGAAGAUGAUGCAGGCUCAGAUGUAGCCAGCCUGAUGUGGUUCUAGCUUAAUUUCGGCUAACUCAACACUAUGGCAGACUCUGAAAAGACACCACUCCACACCCAUAUUAAGAUUAAUGAGUUCUAAAUCAACAAAAGAACAUAUAUCACCCACAAAAAAAGAACAUAUAUAAAACCUAGAAGCACAUGACCUUCAAUCUGCAUCAGAAAAUAACAAAUGUACACAAAAAAGGUAGGAUCUUUGAAGAGGUAGAAGACUCGCUCCACAUCUAAAAGAUCCCUAAAACUAGGUACUCGCACUACCACCAAACAAACAAAAAAUAUAGCAAACCUGAAGACUACAAAACCACCUACAGAAGCAUCAAAUCAAAAACACGUACGAUUUGAAUCCAACCUAAACAAUAGAAAAAACCCUAAUUAAAUCACAAUAUAACAAAGAACCCUAGAAAACUACUCUCACUGCCACCGUAAACAUUACAGUAAUGAGAUCAAGCAAAAGAAAAAACCUAGAGGAAGAAGUAUAAGCAGAAGCAGCAGAUCUAGCAAGAACAUCCACAAACCCUGGCUCUCGCAGGCGCAGCAAUACACACUGCGCAAAAAAUUACAACAGAGAAAUUAAGUAAAAGAAAAUACCUGAAGAAGGGGAUAGAUGCAGCAAACUAAUCCCUCUGCCAAGAAUCCCCUGAUUCCCAAAUCCUGUGAACAGAAAAAAGCACAAAAAAGCACCUUAUAAAAGCAUAAGAACAACCACAGGGAUAAGAAUAAGGAGAGGGAGCAGAUCUAGCAAGAACAUCCAUUAACCCCAACUAUCGGCAGGGAGAGGAGAAGACACACUGGACUGAAGCAGAGGCGCAAGUACUGAUAGGAAGCGAGGGGGAAGGGGAUAAGACGAGGAGAGCAGCGACGGUCGGCGUUCCAGAAGACGGGUUGGGCCUCUUAACGGGCACAAACGGGUGCCCCGCGUCGGCAACGAGCCCAGGAAAAAGCGAUUCGACUGAACAAAACAAAGGGUCAGUCGAUAACACUCGGCCCAACUCAGCAAACAGAAGCAACCCGGGAAAAAAAAACCAGCAUGCAUCUUAGCG